Homo sapiens (human) is the source of this 618-nucleotide long non-coding RNA. RefSeq lists it as uncharacterized. The transcript is spliced from 4 exons. The record is from RefSeq and is a predicted model, not a curated record. Lineage: Eukaryota; Metazoa; Chordata; Mammalia; Primates; Hominidae.
CAUGUCAUCUGAUAAAUAAAACAAAAAGCUGUUUAAAACCAUCAGCAAGCAACCAAGGCAGCUAGGACAUUAAGUGCCAAGGUCCUAGAAAGAAGAAAAUUCUUGUUAAAGAUGAGGACAGUGGUGCCCAGAAAGUUUGCUUACUUUGUUCAAGAACUUUUUAUUGAUAAAUAGAAGAAUUGAUAUUCCAGCUUAGGACUCUCCAGUUUCAAAUUAUGUAUUCUACCAGUCCUCGUCUGCUAAUUCAUGAAUGUGAAUUAGGCAGAUUACGCAACUGGUUCAGGUUUUAUGGAUUAAGAAGUCCAACAGGGUACAACAGAGGUGGCUUUUCUAUGCCUUAUAACGUCUGCGGUCUCAGAUGGAAGACUCAAAGAUGAGGAAGUGCAAUCAUCUAAAGACAGCUACCCUCCUAUGUCAGGAAUGAUAAUACUGCAAAAAUGUAGCAGUCUGAAAGCCAGGAAGAGAGCCCUUACCGGAAACCAACCAUAGUGCCACCCUGAUCUUGGACUUCUGGCCUCCAGAACUGUGAGAAAAUAAAUUUCUGUCAUAAAGUCACUCAAUCUAUGGUAUUUUGUUAUGACAGCCUAAGCAGACUUGUAUGUUAUAUAGCAAAGAUGA